UACAACUCUCGGCAACGGAUAUCUCGGCUCUUGCAUCGAUGAAGAACGCAGCGAAAUGCGAUAAGUGGUGUGAAUUGCAGAAUCCCGUGAACCAUCGAGUCUUUGAACGCAAGUUGCGCUCGAGGCCGUCAGGCUAAGGGCACGCCUGCCUGGGCGUUGUGU
RNAcentral lists this ribosomal RNA (162 nucleotides) under Mexipedium xerophyticum. RNAcentral describes it as "5.8S ribosomal RNA subunit". It matches the Rfam family "5.8S ribosomal RNA". From Rfam's summary of the family: 5.8S ribosomal RNA (5.8S rRNA) is a component of the large subunit of the eukaryotic ribosome. It is transcribed by RNA polymerase I as part of the 45S precursor that also contains 18S and 28S rRNA. Lineage: Eukaryota; Viridiplantae; Streptophyta; Magnoliopsida; Asparagales; Orchidaceae. The record is from RNAcentral.